UGGCGGACGGGUGAGUAACGCGUGGACAACCUACCCCGCACUGGGGGACAACAGCCGGAAACGGCUGCUAAUACCGCAUAUGCGCACGGCCCCGCAUGGGGCCGCGCGGAAAGCGCAUGCGGUGCGGGAUGGGUCCGCGUCUGAUUAGCUUGUUGGCGGGGUAACGGCCCACCAAGGCGACGAUCAGUAGCCGGCCUGAGAGGGUGGACGGCCACAUUGGGACUGAGACACGGCCCAGACUCCUACGGAAGGCAGCAG
This 258-nucleotide ribosomal RNA is filed under the name uncultured bacterium. RNAcentral describes it as "partial 16S ribosomal RNA". It matches the Rfam family "Bacterial small subunit ribosomal RNA", at positions 96 to 354 of the family's 1533-position model. The record is from RNAcentral.